GGGGAAUAUUGCACAAUGGGGGGAACCUGAUGCAGCGACGCCGCGUGAAGGAAGAAGUAUCUCGGUAUGUAAACUUCUAUCAGCAGGGAAGAGAUUGACGGUACCUGACUAAGAAGCCCCGGCUAACUACGUGCCAGCAGCCGCGGUAAUACGUAGGGGGCAAGCGUUAUCCGGAUUUACUGGGUGUAAAGGGAGCGUAGACGGAUGGACAAGUCUGAUGUGAAAGGCUGGGGCUCAACCCCGGGACUGCAUUGGAAACUGCCCGUCUUGAGUGCCGGAGAGGUAAGCGGAAUUCCUAGUGUAGCGGUGAAAUGCGUAGAUAUUAGGAGGAACACCAGUGGCGAAGGCGGCUUACUGGACGGUAACUGACGUUGAGGCUCGAAAGCGUGGGGAGCAAACAGGAUUAGAUACCCUGGUAGUCCACGCGGUAAACGAUGAAUGCUAGGUGUCGGGUGAC
Molecule: ribosomal RNA, 457 nt
Filed under: uncultured bacterium
Lineage: Bacteria
Description: bacterial SSU rRNA
Rfam family: Bacterial small subunit ribosomal RNA
Source: RNAcentral